UGCUUCGUUCUCGUGGCUUCUGGAGUCUUCUAGAUGGUAGAAAAUUGUGCGGUGCGUUGAUAUCUCUAUAUAAUCCCGACAUUUGGGCCUUUCUACCUUAUUUCAUGAUAACCCCCUGCAGAAACAGAUAACCAAUAAAACUCGUGGAAUUCUGUCAAAUCAAACCCUAAUUCUAGGUGUUGUUUGCAUAUUGGUCCUUUCUCUUGUUUAUUUGAUAAUUAAAAUUGAUACUUAAGAACCGUCAACAAAUACCCCCAUACUUAGGCUUUUACUCGUCCUCGAGAAAAGGAUGGUUAAGAACAAUAUCUGGGGUAAAACAUUUUAAAACAUUCUCUUCAUAACUGCAGGGUGUUAAAAUCCACUGUGUACUAUAGUCGUUGAAGUAUAUGGUUAAGAGUAAAGAUCCUUUCUUCUCAAUCCUGUCACUUGGAGUUUUUAUAUAUUUUUGAAAUAAAAGUUAGCGUACCUUUAUCCUCAUAGGUUCUCUCAGAUCACUCAUUAUCUUUUUUAUCUUACUGAGGCUGUUUUAAUUUGCAAAAAUUCUCAAGCAUACUUACUUUGUAUUUAUUGCCUGAUCAAAACAGGAUCCGAGGAGGGGAAUGUCAUACUCUUAGAUCAAAGACUUUGGAAAUUAAAAUCUUUGUCAACUCUUGCUGGCAUAUUGCUUAUUAGAGGGACCAUGGGCUAUCAUUUUCUUUCUUUUUUCUCUUUUUUUAAGUGGAUACCGAGGUACCCCUAGUUCUACUAUCGGACACUUGUCCAUUUUAUCUGCGAGGUUAUCGAGCACUUGCUCCUUUUUAUUUCCUCGAAAUAUCCUUAUUUUUGCAUAGCCCAAGCCUCUAAUGCAAUAAUACUUCAGAAGAGUGAAUCUUUCUGAAUAAAUGUCUUGAUCUUAGGAGCAUGAUAAAUCUCUCAACAAGGGUCUAACUCAUUUUGAACAAACUCAAUACAGAGUAGAUAGCUUUUAUAAUCAUAAUUAAUAUUUUCAGUUUUAUCAGGCAUAUAAAACACUGAGGAUGGUAGCUAGAAUUUUUUAAAUAAAUUCUCCAAGCAACAAUGAUAUCAAGAAUAAGAAACUCAUACUCUACCAUCUCACAUUCGACAAUGACUUAAGUAACAUAGGGUUUUAAAAUGAUUUUCAAUAAUUGCAAGUUUCAGGAAAUAUCACAGAGUGAGAUUAAUCAUAUUUUGAAACAUUUUAAGCUUGUUAAUUUAUCAUGUCGAAGGCAAAAUUCUGCACAAUCUAAGAUAUAUAUGAGUAUGUGUAAAAUAAGUGUAGAGUGUGUACCUGAAUCUUGGAGUGGUGUAGUUGAAGUGUGUUUGGCAUAUCGAGGGAUCUCCCCCAUACUUGUUUUCUGCUUUCUUGCACAAAAAUAAAGUAGAGACACACAAGACAUAACAAUAAUAAUAAUAAUAAUAAUAAUAAUAAUAAUACUCUUUAUUAAUCUUGAGGCAUUUAUUACAAAUAACUAGUAGCAAACUAACGAUAAUAGUAGCAAACUGACAAUAAU
Molecule: long non-coding RNA, 1511 nt
Filed under: Sorghum bicolor (sorghum)
Lineage: Eukaryota; Viridiplantae; Streptophyta; Magnoliopsida; Poales; Poaceae
Description: long non-coding RNA (SBIC_LNC014374)
Source: RNAcentral